Cyprinus carpio (common carp) is the source of this 1111-nucleotide long non-coding RNA. Lineage: Eukaryota; Metazoa; Chordata; Actinopteri; Cypriniformes; Cyprinidae. The record is from Ensembl.
GAUGGAAAGAAAAAAUGAAUACAUUUGUUAGGUUUUAAAUAAUGAAGCAACUGAUGCACAAACACCAAUAAAUAGCUCAAAAGUGCAAAUGCCAUUUGCUUUUAUAUUUUGUUAUCUAAUGCAGUUACAAUCAGAAAGUGUGACUUUUUGGUGCCGUUAUAGUUUGUAUAAAAGUCAAUAAUAAUUAUAUUUCAAUUAUAAUAGUCACCACUGCUGAUAAACACACGGCUGAGUUGGAGCUCCUGGAAAUGCCUGAAAGCUGCUUUGCUAACAUCACCUUCAAGGAGCCACAAUCUCCAGUUGCUUCGAGGUCUUACGCUGAGAUGGAAUUAGACCUGCUUCUUUCACCAUCUAGUCAUACGCUGUGUCUGCCAGACCUGUGUGUGUCCAGCAAACAGCUGUCAGCUGAGAUUCUGUCACCAGUUUAUAAUCAGCAUUUCAUGUCAGACAGUGAUUGUGAAAAUAUGGAAAAAGCUGUUUGGAUGGCAGAGAAACAUCCCCAAUGUGUGGCUCGAUUUUUACUUGCUGAACCAGAGGUAGCUAAGCCACUGGUCCACAUUCAGUCACUCCCAGAGCUUCUCACACUCCUGAAGGUGGAGGUGGAACAGGUUGCAGAACCCAAAGACAAUAUGGGUCAGUUUCACCUCACUGGCAGUACAGUGAUGCUUCCUGAAAACAUCUUCAAAAAUCUCUCCAUCUAUACUGAGAAAAUGUCCACAGAAGACUGUAAGAGAGCUGUGAGAAAGCCACAUGUGGAUGAAACAUUCUCGUCACUGUCUAUUGUGAAUAUAGAUGGUAAGACAGAAUGCAAUAUUUGUCUCCUUAAAAAAAAAAAACGACACUAAACAAAAUUAUAACCGCAACACCUUUGUUUUUUCCCCCAUUUUUCAUGAGCUGAACUCAAAGAUCUAAGACUUUUUCUAUGUGCACAAAAGGCCUAUUUCUCUCAAAUAUUGUUCACAAAUCUGUCUAAAUCUGUGUUAGUGAGCACUUCUCCUUUGCAGAGAUAAUCCAUCCACCUCAUAGGUGUGGCAUAUCAGGAUUAGACAGCAUGAUUAUUGCACAGGUGUGCCUUAGGCUGGCCACAAUAAAAGGCCACUCUUGGGGAGCA